RNAcentral lists this long non-coding RNA (15556 nucleotides) under Phaseolus vulgaris (common bean). Its description in RNAcentral is "long non-coding RNA (PVUL_LNC000085)". The record is from RNAcentral. Lineage: Eukaryota; Viridiplantae; Streptophyta; Magnoliopsida; Fabales; Fabaceae.
CAGCACAAUGUCUUGGUCUUCAUGCAUGUAUCUCGUGUAUGCAUGUAACAUGUGGGAGCCCGAUUUCAGAUGAAAGUGCUCCUCUAAGAUGUACAAACGGAUGGUAAAUGCAAAAAUGUGAGCAAGGCAAAAACGUGAGUACCUCCAGCAGCAACAAGUUUUUCUACACGUGCAACGAUGUGCUUUCCAUAGGUGUACUUCUUCAAUGCAUUUAAAUGAACCUUAAUUCGUGAAAGAAUCAGUUCACGCUGCUGAUCAUCACAUGUUUCCAGCACCUUUUGUACAACGUAAUUUGCAAACUGAUCUUUCAUCAUGGCCUGUAUAUGGAGGAAUCUCAUUUAGAAUUUUGCAAAACUGGGAAGAGGAAAGAGUCUCAUCAUGCAACAAACAAUUAUGAAUUUCAGUAAGACAGGUAGUGAGAAUUAGCUAAAGCCUUCACAACACCGACAAAUAACAAUUUUAUUGAAAGAAUUAUUGAGGAGAUAUAGCCUUCUCCCAUAACUGAAACAGUUUGACCAAAGUUCAAGACUGGAAAUGUGAGAAAUUUAUGGUCAAUCACAUGGAGGAGACAUUGGAUAGAAAAGAGUUCUACAGAAGUCGUGAGCUGAGUUCAUGCAAUUGCAUUAGAAAUCAUGAAAAUAACUUCCGAUCACUUAUCAUGGUAUUGAACUUAAAAGUAGGCUACACUGCUCCUAACAGGAUGCAUUAGCGAUUCCUUGUAAUUUUGCAUCAAAUAGUGGUAGAGCCACGUAUAUUAGAAAGAGAAAGUUCAACAAACCUGAAGAGGCUCAUUUUCAUCUGUGGAGCCAAGCAUCUCAUGCACUAGUAAUUGGCGCUCAAGAGGACCUCCAAAGGUCAAACAUUUUUCCACAACAUUGGACGCAAACUUCUGUUGACUCAUUUGAACAAUCUUGCCUGCUAAUUCCUUUAUUAUAGAAGAACGCUCAUGAGGCUUCCCAUGCUCUAGAACAUGCUGUUAUCAAAGAGAAAAGAAAGCAAAAACGUAAAAAUCAACCCACUUAUUUAUUAAACAGUAGCACAUUUUAGAGGUAAAGUAAUAUUAGUCAGUAGGGAGGGACCAUAAGCAUCUAUCAAACGUGAAAGAACCAACCUUGAUGUCAUUUUAAAAGCAUAAAAUGAAUACGGCAGCAAGCUAUAACAUAAAGUAACAGUUUAAAAAAAGGAAUUAAAAUACAAACAAUUGUCACUUAAGUAUUAUAUGAGUUCCAAAGACAUGCACAAUAAACUCAGUUGGAAAUCAUAAAAAAGAAAAAUAAAUUUAGUUGGAAAGUUUCACAGUAUCAUUGGUUGAUAACGAUAACACUGUGUGAAGACUAGAAGCCUGCCAAAAUAGAAGACAUUCACUUUUCAUUGUCAAUUAACAAAUUUGCAGUUAAAAAAUAAACAUAAAGGAGAAUAGUUUCAAAACACAUUGUGACAAGAGGAAUUGUUAGGACAACAGUCAAUCAAGGUCCAAAAAAGAAAACAAUUGCCAUAACUAUUUCUCAGAAAAAGCUUGAUGACAGCCUUGCAGCCAUGCUCAAGUAAACCCAACAAACAUUAUAAAAACACACUUUCACAACUAUGUCAAUAAGCAACACUUUUUAAAAUUGUCUAGUCCGAAAAAUUAUAAACCUGUACAACGUAGUUCCCAUACUGAUCCUGAGCUAACAUGCUAACUGCUCCUAAAAUUUCAUCCAUAACUUUCUGCUGUGUUGUGAGAUCUUCGCAAUGUUCCAGAACUCUCUGUCGUGUUGAACUCAAUAUUAUGAGACAAAUGAUCUUUGGUAACGUAAUAAGAGUGGACAUAACCAGUGAAGAUACCUUACCUGUAUAACCCGGCAACCAUAUGGAUGGGUUGAGAGGGUCACAACUUGAUCAAAAAAUGUUGAGACAAUAAAAUUGAUUGCAUCUUCAGGGACACAUUCAAUACAUUUCUGAAUGACAUGAUUACCGUUUUGAUCACGUACACAGCGCAUGACAUUACCAUCAAGCUCUAGCACCAUCUCUAUCUUCUGAUCUAGAUCAACAACUUCGAUGGCCUAAAGUGGUAUAAAAAAUUGAAGCACAAAAGAAAAUUGAUAACAUGCUCAGAAUAUUAAAUAGGCAGCAAAACAUAUAUACCCAUCAACUAAUGCCAUCUGAUAUUGCACAUACCUUCUGGAUGACCCGGCAACCAUACAUUUGAAGGCUAAGUGUCAGCACAUGGCCAAGAAGUUUGUUGGCCAACUCUCUUCUCUGGGCUGCAAGUCCAUGCUCAAAAAACUACAAUAUACCAUAUAACAUUACCAACUAUUGCUCAAACAAGAUUCAUGAAAGAAAAUAUUAAAUUAGGAGUAAUUACCUUUUGAACCACAUAAUUACCAAAGACAUCAGUCAUCAAAGCAAGGGCAUGUGGCAUGAUUUCCUGAUAAACCAUGUUCUUUUCUUCUGUAGAGGCCGUUUCAAGCUUUUGUUGAAUAAAUCGGCUCCCAUAUUGAUCCGCACUGCCAAUGAUCAUAAAUUAAUCAAAAUUGUUUUGUCAGGAUGGCAAAAAAAUAAUCCAUAAGAUCAAUAGGAAAAAAAUACCUGAAUUCAACAACAUGACCAGCAAUUUCAGAAAGCUCAAAACACUUUGUUUUAUUGCCUUUAAACUCCUCCAACAGAGAAGAAGCAAAGCUUUCAUCAAUGUUCCCAGUAUCUACAUGCCAAGGUCCCAUUACCCCAGCUAAAUUCCUCAUUCCAGAAGCAAAACGCAUAUUCAGUUCAUUGUGCCUAACAGGACUUCCAGAUCCUACAGGGGUGGUGGAUACAACAGAGUUUGCCAUUGGACUUCCUGGAUAAGACAGCCCAACACCAUAAGCAGGAUUUCCAUAAUAAUUAUGAGGAGUGGAGCUGCCUGAUUUACCACCCAGUGGUACAUUGUAUUGAGAUUUCUGAGGUGAGAGCAUAGACCCAAGAUAAGCUUUCUGGAGCUCAAGUAAACUCAUGUACGAAUUGCCCAAGUAGUUCCUGUCGACAGAGGGGUCACUAAGAGCACCAAGUUGUGCUGCAUACUCAGAUGUCCUCAGGUACUGAAGAUACAUAGGAUCAACAAAAGGGGCCUGAAGAGCACUACCCGGAAUUUGAUUUCCCAUCCUACCAAGAUUAUGCACAUCAGAUGGAGCAGCAGCACGAGAUGCCAAACCACCUCCAAGAAUUCUUGAAUCCAUUCCAGGGGCUGCUAUUGCAGAUGCUGCAGCAACAUUUUCAAACAAGGGUGGAAGAUUACCAGUGCCAAGUUGGUUAGUCAUCAAGGAUGCCAAUGCUGGAUUCCCGGCGUACCCACUCAGAUCAUAGUUAGUAUACGAUGAAUUUGAACCAUCUAUAGUCUGGUACUGAGGUGGGAAAUUACCUCCUCUAAUAAAAUGGGAGGUAGGAGAUGUUUUGAAAUAUGGAUUAUUGGAAGGAACAUUAGACUUUUGUAGCUCAACCUGCCGAUCCAAGGAUGCAUUACUAAGAUCAGAACCAUCCCUGCUCUUACUUGAGUUUUGCAAGUGAGCUGAUUCAGAUUUCUUUAAAUAAGCAUGUUGCUUCCCGUGAUCUUGACCACCUUGCCUACCAAAAUGAUAUCUCUGGUGAUUAUCAACAUCUGAUUCAACCUGUGAUGGCAAACGGUUAUCACUAUCUAAUAUGUCAUCUGCAGACAAGUUCAUCACUGACAAUGCUGCCACAAGAUCUGAUGACUCAUUGAUGCCAGAUGAAACACUAUUAAAUCCAUCUGGACUCGCAAUAAUUCUCUUGUCAGAAGGUGUAGCUCUGCCACCACCAAUAGGUGUGAUGCAGGGACUGGGAGCCCUAGCAACAAGCUGUGGAUCAGGAGUAGUGCUUCUUGACAUGGAAGAUCCAACCGCAGCAGCAUAAGAAUAUGAAGCUGGCAAGCCAGUAUUUUGGGAUACAGAUGAUCCUUGAAUAUUUGAUCCUGACCUCAGUGCAUCAGUUGUUGUGGACUCACGGCGCACAUGAGCUAACUCUGCUUCAGCAGAACUAAUGAUAUCAUUGUCAUCAAAUGCAUUUCGACUGGCUGGACGAGAAGGAGGGCCUGUGACAGAGGUAUUACGUACCAAAUCAUCCUGCACAAUUACUGUUUGUAAAUGACGAGCAGAAGAAAAAAGGAUAUGAAAAAAAAAAGCCCAAGAAAGAUAUCAAAGAAAAAAUAAUAUAAAUUCACUACAGAAAUGUCAACAAUUGAUAUUAUCAAGAAAAACAGAUAUUGCUACAUAAAAUCUUUUAAAAUUUAAAGGCAUACAAAUAAUUAUCUGAAUAUACAAUAUAUUCUAAGUUAUACCAAAAAUCACAGACUUCAAGAUCAAAAUCAACACGAGUCACUUCAAUACUCGGGUAAUAUAUUGAUUUUUCAAAAUUAACGGGUGUAAGCCAAGACAAGCUUGAGGAAGAAAAUGUAACUGGUGCAGAAGCAUGAAGCAUUGUUGACGACAGUAUGUCAGAGAAAAGAAGGGCUCACAAGAGCAAGAAAGACUCUCCACAAAUUUGGUUGAAACAGAAACAGAAAUAGGUAGUGCAGUUACAUAAGGUGUUCGUGUACUUUAGAAGAUUUGCUGAACUAACAGGCUGAUGGGCAUGAAUCCGUUAUAACGGAAAAUCUAGCAGUCACUUCGAUUAAAACACUAUAUUUAAUAUAUUUUAUACAAUAAAUUAAAUUUUAAUAGCAAUGAUGUGACAUCAUGUGAUCAACUGACUGGAGACUGUAAAGUAUCUCAACCCCAGACAUGCUACAGUUGACAAUAUAGUACUACAGUUUACAGUGCAGACAGAGAUACACUAUGUAUGCACUACAGUAUGCAUUAUAGCAUACAUGUAUUGUAUGAUGCAUAGCUGAAAUUACAAAACUAGACACAAAUGUGGUUAAUGAGCCUAAUAAAAUUUUAUGGUAAAAGCAACAAGUCAACCAGAUGUAACUAAACAAUCAGUAUAAAUACUUAGAACCAGUAUAAAACUAAAAGGAUAACAACUAGAGGACACUGAUAAAGGAUUGGCAGAACUCUAAUGACACUUUUUUUAUGAAUUCACAAAGUGUUAUGCUGUCAUCUUCCAUCACGAUGAGCACUAUAACUAACAAUAUAGGAACCGAAAUUCAACGACUGACGCAUGUCAUCAUUUAGCAUUCCCUUAAUCAAACUUGGCUACCCUCAAGAAUUACAAUCAUUAAUCAGAACUUUUGAACAAUACCACACAUCAGAAUAUAAAAAAUUUAUACUCAGCAUAUACUACCAGAGAUCAUACCCAACCUCACAACAUAUGCAUCAUCAAUUAAUCACAUGUCAGAGAUAACACAUAACACCAAAUUACAAAAUCCAGGAAAAAUACAAACAGAUGCAACACGGGAUCAAUUAGUCAACCAAUGACAGAAGAAGCAAGCCACCUGGAAAAUUUCUGCAAAACUCUUCUGUUUGCUCAGCCCUAUUCCGGGCAAGCCAAUCAGUCCAUCACCACCCCACUCCGCAGCACCUCUUGUUUUUUCAUUAUCCACUUCACUCUCUUGUUUCCUCAUGUUAAAACCCGGUGGAGUAGAAAAGAAGGAUCUACCACCAAUAUCGUCAGCCCUGUUCACUUUCCUCCUAUCUCCAAUUCCACCCAGAACUGAAACACCACCUUUAAGUCUUUGUUGAAACCUCCAAUCCUCCUUUGACAGCAAAGGAGGUGGCAGCCUAGGAUUCAAAUUCACAUUGGAGUAAUAGUAUGAAAGAUAAGCUGGAUCAGACCUUAGUUCCUCCUCGGAAGCAAUCCCAUUCACAUCCGUAGUCCCAUGAAACUCCGAAAAGGCACCAGCAUCACCACCACCAGCACCGGCAACAGCACCGCCACCAAACAACCCUCCUACAGCACUUAAAGAACCCUCCACAGUUGGAGGCGCUGAUCCACUCCUAAAAAUAUUAAGCUCUCUCUCACGAUCAUCAGCCUCUUGUCGGCGUUGCUCACGAAGCAACAUCCCUAUCUCCUUCUCCAGUUCAUCUCCAAAAGAACCCUCGUUACUCCCAAGCAUCGGUCUUCUUUCCAAUUCAGACAACAUUUUUUCAAAGUCCCAAUCUGAUCAUCAACCUCAUCAUAUAGCUAAACUAUAACACCACCCACCACCAUAAAUCAAACCCUAACCUAAACAAACCCAAAAGCUCAAACGUUUUCCACCGCAUAACGUAAGCCGCCACGCUCCAUAUUAACAACUUCACAAAAUUAUAACUGGCAGUUACCGGAAGGAAUUGAAAAACAAAACAAAAAAAUUCAAGCUUUCUGUAAAAACUGCACCGAAGCCAACUCCGCAGCUGAAACCCAAUAAUCAAACACAAAACCAAACUGCAAAAUUCACUCUAUGUUCCCCAGAAUUAGUUUCCAUAAUUAUAAAGAAAUUCCUAGAAGAACAUGAUUCCCCAGAGGUUAGUAUAUACAGAACAAUAAAAUAAAGGUGUGAAAGAACAGGAGAGAAGAAGGAGUGAGGGAUGGUGCAGUGAGAUCAAAAAAAAGAAACAGUGAGAGAAAUCAAUCUGGCGGCGAUUGGUUCUUACAAGAACCCUUAGGGUUUUGUUCCAUUUAGAGGAGGAUUAAAUACAGUUGAUGGUAGGAAGCAAACCAAACUAAACAUAUUGGGUUUCUAUUUUUCCUUUUUUGUUUUUGUAUUUUAGGUUAAAAAGAGUUCCCAUUUAUUUGUUUAAUCUCAUAAAUAUCCUGAAUAUAUUUGAUGUAUUUCCUAAACAUUAGGGGUAAUUGACCAAGUGAUAACCGACUAAUGCCAUUGCCAAGGAAAGAGAAAUGCCUUAUAUUUAUUUGUUUAUUGGGUUCUCUUCCAAACCAGAACCUGUCACCGACUCACACUUCCCUCUGUUACAUUCUCUACAUCACCAAAACAUAUCCCAAACUACACUAAAUUUCUCACCACUUUACCCUAUUUCUUCACUUCAGUUAAACUCUUAUCAUAUAUCUCUGUUACUGUUACUUACUGAGAGUACUAUCAUCAUUCUAAUUUUCACAUUGUUUCUUUUAACACUGCACAUGUCAAAUCUGUUCCUCCUCUUUCCUACUUUACAUGCAGCAACUACACUCUUUGGUUUCUAAGUAUGUUUGAGUCUUUCCACUAGUAACUCCAGUUAUUAGUUUAUCAGAGACUUUUGUUCAAUUCAUGUAUAAGUACUGUGUUCAGUAACCUAGUGUACAUCAAAACAGAGGUUACUAAAAGUAGCUUUUGUAUUUUUUCCUAUGUUAUCAAAAUGUUACUUUGUUUUUGUUUUUGUUUUGCCUAUGUUAUUGCACACAGGUUGUUUGAGUUAGGGUUACUGGACUCUUGGGUUUGUUAUUUCUGUAGUGCAGUUUGAAGAAAUGUUUUAGAAUUAGAUGAAAACAUUAUUUUUUACAGAUGGAAAAAAAGGAACCUGUUAGGUAAGUUUAUUUUGAGGUGUGUUUUAAGAACAUGUAAAAUUAUAUAAUUGAUAGAAAAUUCAAUUCAUUGUAUUUUUUCUCUUCGUCAUGAUUUUAAGAAACCAAAGGAAGGGACAUAUGAAUAGAGAGGACAGAUAAAAUAAUUAGUUCAACAACAUCAGUUUUACCUCAUUUGAUAAGUUUAUAAAAAAAUGUAAUUUUAACUACCCAAUUCUUAAGUUAUAAAUACUUGAUUGGAAAAUUUGAUUUGAUAUAAAAUAAAUAAAAAACAUUAAAUAAAUUAUAUUUUUUUAAAUAUAUGUAAGAUAAAUUUGAUAAAAAAAAUCGUACUGACUAGUUAUCUAAAUUAAAUUUAAAUAGAAUUUUUUCAAUUCCAAAUAUAAUUAAAUUGAAAAUAAUUUUUGGAAAGAAACUACAGGGAAGGUCCAGUUUUUAUUUUCUCUUAACAUUCGACUUUUAUUGUUGUUCACAUUGUCUCUAGUUUAUUUAUUAUAAAUAAUGUGAAGAUUUAUUCACGUAAAUAAAAAAAAUUAAAUUUUAAAUGAGCCAACUAAAUUUUACAUUUCUAUAAUUUUCUUACCCUGUAAAAUAAUAUAUUAAUACAUUUUUAUUUAGCGAGCCAUAAAAAGGGCAUCUGAUAAAGACCUUGUUCUUAAAAUAUAUUAACAUACUUAAAAUAAUGUGUUAUAAGAAUAAAAAAAUAUUUUUAUGUAUAAAAAACAAAUAAAAUAAAAUAAAAUAGUAAUUAAAAUGUAGAUUUUGUAAAUAAAUCUCUAUUACGGAGAUUUCUUAAUAAUAUUUGAUAGUCUUGAAGAUUUAAAAAUUACAAAUAUAAAAAAUAUUAUCGUGCAAAUUUAUAAACAUUUAAUAUGUUUACAAAUUUAAACAUUUGUAUUACACACACCUAAAAAACUACUGAGUAUCUAACAAUUACACACAUAAAACAAUUUAGUGAAAAUGUAAAAUUUAUAAGUUUCUAAAAUUAAACACUUUUUUUACUAAAUCGGUAAAUUCCAAUUUAUUCUAAUUGAAUUUCAUGUAGAGAGUAUACAUAUUUGCUAUUAAUUUUUUUUUACAAAAGUUCAUACAAAUUAAAUUAAGACCUGACUGUCGAUAGUUUUAAGCAUAAUACACGUAGAAAAUAAUUAUUAUGCAAUUUAUGAAUAAAUGUUUAAUAUAUGUGUUUAUAAACCCAAUUCAAUUUCAAAAUAUAAAAAUUCAUCACCGUGGUGUUACAGUUGUGAACUUGUGAUUGAGUUUGGCCCCUGCAAUGCAACUACAGUCGAGUUCCCUGCAUCUGUAAGGUUAGUUCAACUUUUUAAUUUAUUAUAUUUCAUAUUUUAAAAUUAGUACUUUAUUUAAAAUUUAAAAUAUGUAUGAAAAUGUUGGAAUUAAUUUUAUUUAAAUUAAGGUAAAUUAAAAUUAAAAAAGUAAGGUUAAAAUGAAUAAUGAAAAUUUAUUUCAAAUAUGGAUGAUAUUUAUGUUGAUUUUAUAUUCUUAUUAUAUAUUAAUAUUAGGUUUGAGGAUGUCCGACGUUUCAUAGACUAUUUUUUUCUGCAUCUUCAUAACUUGAAAAAUACUUUUUUAGUCUUCUUGUGCCACCUUCAUAGAGUAGCUUUCGAAUAAUGUAAUUCGGAUACACAUUUAAAAAAAGACUUUCAAAUUAUGUUAUUUGUAAGCUAAAAAGGAUUUCCAGAUUAUAUAAUCCAGAAACUAAUCAUGCACAUGAAAAAAACCUUCGGAUUAUGUAAUCCGGAAGCUAAUUACAAAUUUGAAAAUAAACUUCCAGAUUAUAUAAUCCAAAAUAUUACAAAUAAUACUUUUGAAAAUAUAAAAAUAUAUGGAGGUUGAAGAAUAAACAGUCUGUUUCAUAACGUGUAAUGUUUAGUAUUAGAUUUGAGAAUGGUCGACCUUUCCUAAUGUAUAUUGUUUAAUUUUAGAAGUUAUUUUUUAAAUGUUGUGUCGUAAUUGUUCUGUGUCAUAUAUUGAGUGAAUCUUGAAUUUUUACUUGAGAUUUAGUAUAAAGAUAGAAUAAUGUUUUUAAUUUAAAUUAUUCGGUAUAUUUUUAUUUAAAAAAAAAUAGUCAGUAAUUAAUAUAUUGAGUUUGAAUUGUCCGGAUAUAUUGGAAAAAUUAAACAUUUUUUUUUAUAGUUUAGUAGUAUGUAUAUUUAAAUCAUAUUACAUAUAUUUUAUGAAUUUUUUAUUAAUUGCAUUUUGUAUUGAUUUUAUGAUGCAUAUAUUUAAUUAUAGUGAUUUAAGGUUGUCAAUUUUAUUUUGUUAACCUAAAUAACAAUACAAAAUGUUGUCUAAUGAAGCAAUAUUGGUUAAAGUUUAUGUACUAAUGAAGUAUAAAAAAAAAAAUUUUGUUAUCACACAUUGCUUUCAAAAACAAUACCUAUUUAUGCAUAAACCAAUUUCUUCUCUUACGUAGUAAUUAAUUAAAUUAAAGUUAGAUAAAUGUAAGUGGAAUAAGUAAGUUGUAUGAGAAUAGCAUUGAAGAGUUUAUAACAAAAUGUAAGAUGUGAAUGAAAUAUAUUAUUAUACAUGUAUUAAUUGUUUAAUGGAAGACGUUUAUAAAUUCACUUGAUACCAAAACAUUUUUUUUAUGAUGGUUUUUAAGAAGUUAUAUGACAUAGUGAAUUUCUAUAGGGAAUUUAUAGACCUCCUAAUUGUAUCUCAAUCUUAACAAUAAUAAUGUAUUAAAUUUUAUUAUUUUUAGACAAGUUAAGUUAUUAGUAAAUCUGAAUAAAUAUAGAAAUUUAUUUCAUUGGUAAUUUGAUAUGUCUUUUUUAUUUAUAGUCAGAAAAAAAAAACAAAUACAAUAAAAUUGUUUAAAAAGAUUGAACAUGUAGAGCUGAUAUCUUAAUGGAUAUAAUAACAUCAAUUCACAUCACUUAAAACAAUAACAUAUACAAAAAUAACAUACAAAUUCACUCAUAAAUAUUUAUGUAGCACAGACACUGACACUAAUACGAUACGGAGAUACGUAAAAUCUCUAAAAUGUAGGAUACGGGGACACGGAUCUAUAUAUUAUAUAAUUAUGAAUUAUAUAAAUUGACAAUAAAAAUUUAUGUGUACAAGUAUGUUCCAGAUUAUUUUUUGGAGCGGAAAUAUGUUUUUCAUGACUGGUUCAUAAUGAUUUGUUUAUUAGUUUUAUAAUCAUAAUAAUAAUUUAUAAAAAAAUUGAAUUUUAAAAAAAUUAAUGUAUUCUUUCUUUUUAAAAUUGUGUUAAAAAUGUACUAGAACUGUCAGAAAUUUAACAAAUACUUUUUAAAUUUGACAUUUCACGGAUACGUGAGUGUCGAUGUCCGACACGAGUAUCGAACACCGACACGCCAUUUAAUCCAAUCGGAUAUAACAUCAGUUUAUAUAUUACAUACCAACUAAUACUCACAAAAAUAAACUAUGUAUCCUUUUAGAGUGUCACUACAAAAGUGUUUGUUAUUAAAAAAAUAUUAUAUCAGUAAAUCAUAACAUGUUUUAAUAGGAAUUAUGAGAGUCUUUUAUUAAACAAAGCUAAAUUUGGUUUGGUAGGUAAAACAUAUUUUAAAAAUAUUUAUAUACUUUCUUUAGAAAAAAAAUUGUUAUUUUAUAAUAUUUUUAAUUUGUUACUACAUUAUAGAUUUAUUUCGAGAAACUGUGUUUAUAAACAUUUAUAGAAGAAAAAAAUUAAGAGAAGAAGUGAAAUAACUUGUCUUAUCAGCUAAACUUAGCUUAUAUUUAAUGCUAUGAUUUAUUUAAUAUUAAUUUUUCCAAAUUUCGAUUUUUAACUGAUGUUUUAAACUUAUAUUAACUUAAAAACUAAAUGUUUUCUUUCUUCGUAUUUUUUAUUCUAAGAGUAAUUAUUGAGAAACUUCCCCUAGAAAAUUUAAAAUAUUUGGUUAGUCACACAUGAAAAUGAUUGAGUGAUGAUAUUUUUAUAUUUUUACAAUUAAAGAUUUUCAUUUGUAUUUUUAACACUAAAAAAAAUUAUGAAAUAGAAACAAAUUUUAGAAAAAAAAAAUGUUGUUAUACUGACUAAAUUAGAUACUAUUUUUUAGACUAAAAAAUAUUAAUUUUUAAUUAAUUUCUAUUAUUGAUAAAUAAUUUUUAAAUUUGUAUCUAAUUAGCUACAAAAAUUUUAAAUUUGGUAGAAAAACCUUGAUAGACAAUUAGAGACCAAUUUAAAAACUAUUUAUCAAUAAUAGAAACAAAUUUAGAAAUUAAUAAAAAAAUUAAUCUCUAAAAUAAUAUAUAAUUUAAUCAACAUAACAACCAAUUAUUUUUUUUUUAAAAUUGAUUUCUGUUUAAUGAUUUUCUAGUAGUGUAAUUAACCAUACUUUUCACUAAAAAAAUUAUUAAAUAAUAAUUAAAUUUAGAUUAUUAAACAAUAAUUAAAUUUUUAAAAAAUAAUAAUUAAUCACUAUAUUAACCAAAUUAGAUAAUUUAGAGAUUAAAAAAAUUAUUAGUAGUUAAAGUGAUUUCUAUUAUUCGUAAAAAUUUAUAAAAUAAUUUUUAAAUUGAUAGUUAAAUUAGCUAUCCAAUUCUAAAUUCUUUAAUAAUUUAAUAAAAAAAUUAAAUUAUAAAUUAAUUAAUAGUUAAAUUUUGGUAAGUAAUGAUUAGAUAUUAAUUUAUAAAUUAUUUUAUAAAUUCUUCUUAAAUAUUAAUAUUUUUUUAAUUUAUUAAAAUAUAUUAAUUAAUUAUUUUGAUCAAUAAAAUUAUUUUUUAUUUAAUAAUGUUCUUAUAUUUAAUAUUUAGUAUUUAUUUGUGUUCAACAUUUAUAAAACUACUUUAAAACACAAAAGAGAUGAGGGUACACCAGGCUCAAUAUUUUUUAUUUGUUUGUUUAUACUACUAAAAAUAUGUUUAUUUUUUAGUUAAUCCACCGAGUUUAAUUAACCACAACUAAAAUACAUAAUUAUUCCUUCAAAAAUCAUUAUUAACAUUUUCAAGUAUUCUUUUCAAACUGUUUUUUUAAAACCUCUUUAGGUUUUUAACGUACUCCCCAAUUAAUCCUUCAAAAAUUAUUAUUAACUUUCUUUAAGUAUUUUUUCAAUUGUUUAUUAGUAAACCUUUUUAGGUUUCCAACGCACUCCCCAAGAUAAAAGAGUUUUAUUAGUCUAUUGAUGGACUUUGAUGGCAUUGAACUAUUCUCUUUUAUGAUUUUUGGGUGGUUUGCGAAAGCUUAAUGGUUUAUUGAUGGAUCAAGGCCCUCCUAGGAGGUGUGGCUGCCUUGGAGGUGCAUGAGAAUAGGGAAAUUGAGGAAGAUUCGGCCAACCCCUUUUGGUAGGUGAAAGGAUUGAAGAUUAAGACCUAAAUCUUAGGCAAGGGAGUAAAGUAUGACUCAAGUUUGGCAGCAUAAUAAUACUCAAUUUAAUCUUACAAAAUGAGAGUCAAGCACCUCCUUAUAUAGGAUUGGAGGGCUGAAAUUUGAAGAGGCAAAUACAAAUGAAAUGCUAGCCAAAUUACAUAUAAGUGUAAGCACAUGGAGCACAUGGCCACCUAGCCUUCACAUGGCCGGCCUAGAUUAGUGUGGUAGGUUCUAGAAACCAUAACUAAUCUAGGUAAUCCAAACUUAAUCCUAAUUUGCACAAUUAAACAAGGUUCACAAUGCUAUGCUAUUUGCACCACAAAUAAAACUAUGCUAACGCUUGAUGGGCCUUCUUGGAACAUCAACUCUCUUGAUCAUGGAUCUUGUUGUCCUAGACGCUCUUGUGGGUACCCUUCAUGUAAGGUUGGUCAUAGACGCUCUUUUGGUUGUUUUUCAUGCAAGGUUACGCUCUUGUGGUUGCCCUUCAUACAAGAUUGGUCCUAGACGCUUUCCAUCAGACUUAGUGACAUUUUUCUUUUUUUUCUUUUUCAAAGGAUUAGCUUCAUAGUAUAAAUAAUUUCUUAUAUAUCUUUAAAGAUUUAUUAUCUUCAAUGUACAAGUUCUAUGAAAUAGACAUUUGGGUUCUUGUAAGUUAUUCCAUUUUUAUUAUUAGAAUUCCAUUAAUAAUUUUUUUGUGAUGCUUAAAUUACAUUUAAUAUAUUUUAUAAUUAUAUCUCUUCGACAAGAUAAAACAAAUUGUUUAUCUUAUUAAAAUGGGUAGGAAAACCAUAAAUGUAUGACUUAUAAGAGGAGUUGACAUAAUAUAUAUUUCAUCUACUUUUAUUCUCAUUUUUAAAUUACUUAGAUUAAGAGUUUGACAUUCAUCUUCCUUUACUAAUCCUUCCUCACAAAAACAUAGUAAAGUAAAAGAAAAAAGAAAAAUCAAAGUCACAACAAUUACUUCACAUCAUAAAAUCGAGAGAUGAUAAUUUUUUUAUAAAUUUACACAAACUAUAUGUUAGAUGAACCACGUGUUUAGAUACUUCAAGAUUUAAUUUAUGUUACAAAUGUCGAAUGAAGAUUGAGAUUAGAAUUUUUGAAGUAUCAACAUAUCUUAACAAAUAAAACAUUAAGUGUACAUUAGAAAAUGCUUCACGCCAAACCUACUCACACACUGUGUUCACACCCGUGUAUAGGACCAAGUCUACUAUAAAACUCGACCUCAAAGUCAAUGAAAGGACUCAGAAUUUUAAAACAAAAACUGAAGGCCAUGUUUUAAAUGCAACAUUUUUCAAUUAAGAAUAAAACUUCUUUUACCAACGCAGCAAAAACUCAAACCAGCAUCAAACCUUUAUUUUAAUAGAAAUUUACACCCAAAUGACAUUAGGCAACACAUAGAUUUUAUCUAAUGAUUUAAAAAGGAGCUGUAAAAUGGUGCAUGAUUUGCACCAGGAACGUUGAAACGCAGUACGUUAAAAGAGCCUUUAAAAAUACUUCUUCAAUCACUUUAUAUCCUUCUUUUCCAUAUGUUUGUCCUACUUUUGGAGAACCUUUAUGAUUUUUGACUUGAUUGAAUAAAAAGAUGGAGAGUGAGGAGUUAUUAUCGGUAUCACAGGAGAAAAGGUAAAGGUAAAGGUAAAUUUGCCACAAAAAUUAUACUCUUGAAAGGGGAAAGAAAGUCAAUAACCAUACAUGACCAAAAUAGAAGAAAAAAAAAGGUGUCCUCGUCUACACAAGAACGUCUCGACAUGGCAUCAUUUUGUACAGUCACGUCCACUUAGAAACUACCUCACCAUUUUAUAAUCUUUACACCAUAAAAAGGCUUGUAUAGUCAUAUUUCAUUUUAUCUCCUCUGCAGGGGCCUCAGGUGCAUUAAAACAUCUGUUCAGCCUCUUCUCGCUUAAAUUCUUUGUAUAAACUUAAAGCUACAAAAUGUACAGUUCUGCAGUACAACCGACAACUUUAUUUCCAACUGGCUACAACCCCCAUCUUCACAGACAGGAAUCAUAACCUCUUCAUUUGGAAAAAGGAAGAAGAAGAAGAAGCAGCAGCAGCUCACACUAGCCUCAGUUAGCUGUACAAUAUUAUUUUUCUAAGCCACCUAAGCAGGUUGGGGAGACUGAGCAGCAAUUCUCCUUUCUGCAACAAAUCAUACACAACCUUUCAGAAACCGUGCAAUACCACAACACAUCAUAAAAAUAGCCUUCAUAUAUUAAACCAGCACAAUGUCUUGGUCUUCAUGCAUGUAUCUCUUGUAUGCAUUUAACAUGUGGGAGCACAAAGUGCUCCUCUAACACGCACGAAUGGAUGUUAAUAACAAAAAUGUGAGUACCUCCAGCAGCAACAAGUUUUUCUACACGUGCAACGAUAUGCUUUCCAUAGGUGUACUUCUUCAAUGCAUUUAAAUGAACCUUAAUUCGUGAAAGAAUCAGUUCACGCUGCUGAUCAUCACAUGUUUCCAGCACCUUUUGUACAACGUAAUUUGCAAACUGAUCUUUCAUCAUGGCCUGUAUAUAGAGGAAUCUCAUUUAGAAUUUUGCAAAACUGGGAAGAGGAAAGAGUCUCAUCAUGCAACAAACCAUUAUGAAUUUCAGUAAGACAGGUAGUGAGAAUUAGCUAAAGCCUUCACAACACCGACAAAAUAACAAUUUUAUUGAAAGAAUUAUUGAGGAGAUAUAGCAUGCCUUCUCCCAUAACUGAAACAGUUAUGUGACCAGACUGGAGAUGGAAAAUUUGUUAUGGUCAAUUACAUGAAGGAGAUGUUCAAUCAAAAGAAGAAGUCCACUCAUUGUUUAUUGAAUUGGGUACAGGAUUUUGGUGAUGAACCCAACCACACCCAUCCAUUAAUUUAAACAUUUU